Molecule: ribosomal RNA, 444 nt
Filed under: Ctenotrachelus sp. UCR ENT 00128738
Lineage: Eukaryota; Metazoa; Arthropoda; Insecta; Hemiptera; Reduviidae
Description: partial large subunit ribosomal RNA
Rfam family: Eukaryotic large subunit ribosomal RNA
Source: RNAcentral
UUNNNAAAAAAANNNNUUUUUUUUACAACCUCUCUUAAGGGAAGAUGAAAGUCUCACAUAACAUCUUGUGUGUAAAGAUUUUCCGCACUCCCAGGGCGCUUGUAUUUCGCUUUGCGAAUCGAUGCGCACCUAGAGCGUACACGAUGAUACCCGAAAGAUGGUGAACUAUGCCUGGCCAGGACGAAGCCAGGGGAAACCCUGGUGGAGGUCCGCAGCGAUUCUGACGUGCAAAUCGAUCGUCGGAGCUGGGUAUAGGGGCGAAAGACCAAUCGAACCAUCUAGUAGCUGGUUCCCUCUGAAGUUUCCCUCAGGAUAGCUUGCACUCAGUUGAGAAGAGUCUCAUCCGGUAGAGCGAAUGAUUAGAGGCAUUGGGGUCGAAACGACCUCAACCUAUUCUCAAACUCCAAAUAGAUGAGAUCCCCGGCUUUCUUAAAAGUGAAGCCG